AUGUGCUUGCAAACCAAGACUUUGUUGAGGCUUUUCUGCGGGGUCAGGGGAGACGCCAGUGAUCAAGCGGCAGUGGCCUACAGCCUAGGAGACCUGCACAAGGGAGCCGCCAAGAUCUCCAACGACAUCCUCGACUCUGUCGGGGUUUCAGUAUAUGCAACAACAGAAAAUUCGACAACAGUAUACGCGACAAAUGGUGCUAUUUGCUUUCGCUGCAAUCUCCUCAUACUUACCAGGGUUGAGUGCCCAACAUUCCCGAAGAUGGCACCCGAGACGUGUCCGCAGCCAGAACCAGCGAGGUUGCCGUAUGAGAUUCAGAUCUCUCUUGGAACAAUGAUCUUGGAGAGCAAAGCACAGAGAAAGAAUCCCAUGAUAUGCUCUCUUAUUCUUUUAAUCAUGGCAUCAACAUACUGGACACCGCAGAAAUUGCCGGCACAAUAUAUCGGUGUUUCCAAUGAAACCCUGUACGGAGUAAUGCAGUUUGUACAUGCUGCAAAGCUUGAUGGACUUCCAAAGAUUAUGAGCAUCUAG
RNAcentral lists this ribosomal RNA (531 nucleotides) under Triticum aestivum (bread wheat). RNAcentral's name for it is "partial small subunit ribosomal RNA". The record is from RNAcentral. Lineage: Eukaryota; Viridiplantae; Streptophyta; Magnoliopsida; Poales; Poaceae.